UCUCUCACUGGGGCUUGCUAUCACUGUGG
RNAcentral lists this non-coding RNA (29 nucleotides) under Macaca fascicularis (crab-eating macaque). RNAcentral also lists the same sequence under 1 other name. Lineage: Eukaryota; Metazoa; Chordata; Mammalia; Primates; Cercopithecidae. The record is from RNAcentral.